GUCAUGUCAGUCCUAUGCACACCCCGUCAAAUAAAGUGCUACCCUUAGUUUACUUUAUAUUUUUGCAUUAUUUACAGAGAUUCUUUGUAGGUUAAUAAUUGUUGAUUUUAUUUAUUUAUUUAUGUUAUUUGUUUGUUUUUCUAAGUGAGACUGUUAUGUUCCGGGGCUCUUGGUGGGGUUUUCCUGUGAGCCUUUUCCACCUCUUACCACCAGAUGGCGACAGGUUCCGGUUGGAGUGCGGUGGUGUCAUCAUCAUCCUCAGCUGUCAUCGAUUACCCUCAUCAGUGGAGCAUACUUUAGGAGUUGACCACCAGUCCAGUGUCGCCUGAGUGUUUGCCAGUCACGGUGAUCCCUUUGACACUCUGGACCCGCUGACUAGAUCCUGGCAGUUUUCCUGGUUUCAGAACCUCCCUCGUGACGCCGUGGAAAGUACCCACUGGUUGCCCGAGUUCCCAGACUCACCUCUCCAUUGUUUGCAAGUAUCUCCUGGAUCCCACGGCUGGCGGUCGAACCACUCCUCUGUCUCCGUUGCACCCGAGCCUACCUGUCCGUUCUCCGCCGCACUCCUGGACCCACUAAGAGACCGAGACCCUGGACAUACUCAGUUACCCUCCAAGAUUCAGAUCCAACCACCAAAAGUAAGAACAACCUGUGUUUGAUCUGAGAUUUCCAUGUUCCCACGACCCCUGAACUCACCAGUCUGCUUUUUCCCCUCGCAGUGAACCACUGCUGCUCGUAACCGUUGAUUCCCUGGACCAGACCACCUUGACACUUCCUGAUAAUUGUGUAAUCUUAAUAAAUCACUUAAACUGA
Xiphophorus hellerii (green swordtail) is the source of this 813-nucleotide long non-coding RNA. RefSeq lists it as uncharacterized. Lineage: Eukaryota; Metazoa; Chordata; Actinopteri; Cyprinodontiformes; Poeciliidae. The record is from RefSeq and is a predicted model, not a curated record. The transcript is spliced from 2 exons.